GGGAAACAGGUUAAUAUUCCUGUACUUGGUGUUACUGCGAAGGGGGGACGGAGAAGGCUAUGUUGGCCGGGCGACGGUUGUCCCGGUUUAAGCGUGUAGGCUGGUUUUCCAGGCAAAUCCGGAAAAUCAAGGCUGAGGCGUGAUGACGAGGCACUACGGUGCUGAAGCAACAAAUGCCCUGCUUCCAGGAAAAGCCUCUAAGCAUCAGGUAACAUCAAAUCGUACCCCAAACCGACACAGGUGGUCAGGUAGAGAAUACCAAGGCGCUUGAGAGAACUCGGGUGAAGGAACUAGGCAAAAUGGUGCCGUAACUUCGGGAGAAGGCACGCUGAUAUGUAGGUGAAGUCCCUCGCGGAUGGAGCUGAAAUCAGUCGAAGAUACCAGCUGGCUGCAACUGUUUAUUAAAAACACAGCACUGUGCAAACACGAAAGUGGACGUAUACGGUGUGACGCCUGCCCGGUGCCGGAAGGUUAAUUGAUGGGGUCAGCGCAAGCGAAGCUCUUGAUCGAAGCCCCGGUAAACGGCGGCCGUAACUAUAACGGUCCUAAGGUAGCGAAAUUCCUUGUCGGGUAAGUUCCGACCUGCACGAAUGGCGUAAUGAUGGCCAGGCUGUCUCCACCCGAGACUCAGUGAAAUUGAACUCGCUGUGAAGAUGCAGUGUACCCGCGGCAAGACGGAAAGACCCCGUGAACCUUUACUAUAGCUUGACACUGAACAUUGAGCCUUGAUGUGUAGGAUAGGUGGGAGGCUUUGAAGUGUGGACGCCAGUCUGCAUGGAGCCGACCUUGAAAUACCACCCUUUAAUGUUUGAUGUUCUAACGUGGACCCGUGAUCCGGGUUGCGGACAGUGUCUGGUGGGUAGUUUGACUGGGGCGGUCUCCUCCUAAAGAGUAACGGAGGAGCACGAAGGUUGGCUAAUCCUGGUCGGACAUCAGGAGGUUAGUGCAAUGGCAUAAGCCAGCUUGACUGCGAGCGUGACGGCGCGAGCAGGUGCGAAAGCAGGUCAUAGUGAUCCGGUGGUUCUGAAUGGAAGGGCCAUCGCUCAACGGAUAAAAGGUACUCCGGGGAUAACAGGCUGAUACCGCCCAAGAGUUCAUAUCGACGGCGGUGUUUGGCACCUCGAUGUCGGCUCAUCACAUCCUGGGGCUGAAGUAGGUCCCAAGGGUAUGGCUGUUCGCCAUUUAAAGUGGUACGCGAGCUGGGUUUAGAACGUCGUGAGACAGUUCGGUCCCUAUCUGCCGUGGGCGCUGGAGAACUGAGGGGGGCUGCUCCUAGUACGAGAGGACCGGAGUGGACGCAUCACUGGUGUUCGGGUUGUCAUGCCAAUGGCACUGCCCGGUAGCUAAAUGCGGAAGAGAUAAGUGCUGAAAGCAUCUAAGCACGAAACUUGCCCCGAGAUGAGUUCUCCCUGACCCUUUAAGGGUCCUGAAGGAACGUUGAAGACGACGACGUUGAUAGGCCGGGUGUGUAAGCGCAGCGAUGCGUUGAGCUAACCGGUACUAAUGAACCGUGAGGCUUAACCUUACAACGCCGAAGGUGUUU
Molecule: ribosomal RNA, 1543 nt
Filed under: Escherichia coli
Lineage: Bacteria; Pseudomonadati; Pseudomonadota; Gammaproteobacteria; Enterobacterales; Enterobacteriaceae
Description: partial 23S ribosomal RNA
Rfam family: Bacterial large subunit ribosomal RNA
Source: RNAcentral